RNAcentral lists this ribosomal RNA (468 nucleotides) under uncultured bacterium. Its description in RNAcentral is "partial 16S ribosomal RNA". It matches the Rfam family "Bacterial small subunit ribosomal RNA", at positions 28 to 507 of the family's 1533-position model. The record is from RNAcentral.
GACGAACGCUGGCGGCGUGCUUAACACAUGCAAGUCGAACGGAAAGGCCCUGCUUUCGUGGGGUGCUCGAGUGGCGAACGGGUGAGUAACACGUGAGUAACCUGCCCUUGACUUUGGGAUAACUUCAGGAAACUGGGGCUAAUACCGGAUAGGAGCUCCUGCUGCAUGGUGGGGGUUGGAAAGUUUCGGCGGUUGGGGAUGGACUCGCGGCUUAUCAGCUUGUUGGUGGGGUAGUGGCUUACCAAGGCUUUGACGGGUAGCCGGCCUGAGAGGGUGACCGGCCACAUGAGGACUAAGAUACGGCCCAGACUCCUACGGGAGGCAGCGGUGGGGAGUAUUGCACAAUGGGCGGAAGCCUGAUGCAGCGACGCCGCGUGCGGGAUGACGGCCUUCGGGUUGUAAACCGCUUUCGCCUGUGACGAAGCGUGAGUGACGGUAAUGGGUGAAGAAGCACCGGCUAACUACGUG